AGAGUUUGAUCCUGGCUCAGGACGAACGCUGGCGGCGUGCCUAAUACAUGCAAGUCGAACGAGAGCGACCGGUGCUUGCACUGGUCAAUCUAGUGGCGAACGGGUGAGUAACACGUGGGUAACCUGCCCAUCAGAGGGGGAUAACAUCCGGAAACGGAUGCUAAAACCGCAUAGGUCUUCGAACCGCAUGGUUUGAAGAGGAAAAGAGGCGCAAGCUUCUGCUGAUGGAUGGACCCGCGGUGCAUUAGCUAGUUGGUGAGGUAACGGCUCACCAAGGCCGUGAUGCAUAGCCGACCUGAGAGGGUGAUCGGCCACAUUGGGACUGAGACACGGCCCAAACUCCUACGGGAGGCAGCAGUAGGGAAUCUUCCGCAAUGGACGCAAGUCUGACGGAGCAACGCCGCGUGAGUGAAGAAGGUUUUCGGAUCGUAAAACUCUGUUGUUAGAGAAGAACAAGUGCUAGAGUAACUGUUAGCGCCUUGACGGUAUCUAACCAGAAAGCCACGGCUAACUACGUGCCAGCAGCCGCGGUAAUACGUAGGUGGCAAGCGUUGUCCGGAUUUAUUGGGCGUAAAGCGAGCGCAGGCGGUUCCUUAAGUCUGAUGUGAAAGCCCCCGGCUCAACCGGGGAGGGUCAUUGGAAACUGGGGAACUUGAGUGCAGAAGAGGAGAGUGGAAUUCCAUGUGUAGCGGUGAAAUGCGUAGAUAUAUGGAGGAACACCAGUGGCGAAGGCGACUCUCUGGUCUGUAACUGACGCUGAGGCUCGAAAGCGUGGGUAGCAAACAGGAUUAGAUACCCUGGUAGUCCACGCCGUAAACG
This 819-nucleotide ribosomal RNA is filed under the name uncultured bacterium. Its description in RNAcentral is "bacterial SSU rRNA". It matches the Rfam family "Bacterial small subunit ribosomal RNA", at positions 8 to 808 of the family's 1533-position model. The record is from RNAcentral.